GGGGUUUGAAAGAGGACCGCUUCAGGGAAGGUGUGGGACUCGUGGGAGAAGGAAUUAUGCAGUGUGGAAGAGGACAGGAGGCAUACGAAACGCAUCAGGAGAACACAGCUCUCCGUGUUUCGACCUCAGCUUGUAUGUAUCUUCCUGUCAUUAAAAUGCAUGAGAAACAGUGUUCAGCCUUUGUCCCAAAUUCAGAAAGUAACAAUUAAUAAAAAGCAAACCACUGAAGAACCAGCUGUACCUUCCAACAAGGAUGGCCGAGAGGUUAAGGCGGUGGACUUAAGAUCCAAUGGAUGUAUGCCCGUGUUGGUUCAAACCCCACUGCUGCUUCAGUUGCAGAAGGAGGAUUCUGUGUUCAAACCUGGGAUUUCUUUGUUGUUGUGAGAACAAGUGCGGUGACAUCCAUGAAUGAGAUAAAAGGUCUGGAAAUAUAUAUUGUGAUUUCCAAAGUAAUACUCACCUCCUCACAGGAUGAUCUGUUCACCCAGGCUUUGAAGCCCAUCCUCUCCCACCACUCCAGUUUUUUGC
Xenopus laevis (African clawed frog) is the source of this 528-nucleotide long non-coding RNA. RefSeq lists it as uncharacterized. The record is from RefSeq and is a predicted model, not a curated record. The transcript is spliced from 4 exons. NCBI's taxonomy places the organism in Eukaryota, Metazoa, Chordata, Amphibia, Anura, Pipidae.